Molecule: small RNA, 445 nt
Filed under: Pongo abelii (Sumatran orangutan)
Lineage: Eukaryota; Metazoa; Chordata; Mammalia; Primates; Hominidae
Description: retained intron
Source: RNAcentral
CUCUCUCUCUUCUAACAUCAAUGCACCUCUUGGUAUGUGGUCGUUCUCAGGCCCAAAGGCCCAUUUUGCUUUUGGCUGCAACUCUGUAACUCUGUAACAGAGACCAAGUGCCUGCAGGGAGCAGAUGUUUGGGGCAGUAUCUGCUAAGGUGGCUUUGCUGAAACUUGGUUCUCUCAUUGGGUCUUGGAAGUGGCGAAUAGGACAUUCCUAUAGAGAAACUCAGAGAGAGACUGUGAAAGAUAAUCUUAAAGAGGCACUCACGAAACACAAGCUCCUUCUCUGGGAAAAAGAAUCAUCACCCUUGUUAUCCCAUGAAAAUUUAUCUUCUUUUCAGCUGAUAUGAGGACUUGAUCUGUCCUUUCCUAUAAGUGCCAUCUGUGUUUAAAUGAGGCUGUUACUCUAACUCAAAGCAGACUUGCAAGAGUAAAAUAAUCAAUCUUCAUCA